UACACACGUGCUACAAUGGGCAGAACAAAGGGCAGCGAAACCGCGAGGUUAAGCCAAUCCCACAAAUCUGUUCUCAGUUCGGAUCGCAGUCUGCAACUCGACUGCGUGAAGCUGGAAUCGCUAGUAAUCGCGGAUCAGCAUGCCGCGGUGAAUACGUUCCCGGGCCUUGUACACACCGCCCGUCACACCACGAGCGUUUGUAACACCCGAAGUCGGUGAGGUAACCUUUAUGGAGCCAGCCGCCGAAGGUGGGACAGAUGAUUGGGGUGAAGUCGUAACAAGGUAGCCGUAUCGGAAGGUGCGGCUGGAUCACCUCCUUU
This 320-nucleotide ribosomal RNA is filed under the name Bacillus siamensis. RNAcentral describes it as "bacterial SSU rRNA". It matches the Rfam family "Bacterial small subunit ribosomal RNA", at positions 1215 to 1533 of the family's 1533-position model. The record is from RNAcentral. Lineage: Bacteria; Bacillati; Bacillota; Bacilli; Caryophanales; Bacillaceae.